UAAUUCUUCGUUGUGUGUGUGUGAAUAUGAAUGUGAACGUACCUGGUUGUGAAGACUUGGUUGAUAGGAUAUACUCUCUUGCCCGAUUUACCGUGCCACCUACUACUAACUGACACAGCCCCCUGAUCUGAUGGGUUCUGCCGACUGCAUGCAGUCUAUCCACUACCUUUGGUCACUGUUUAUGCCUCCGACCGGCUAUAAUCCCAUCCACAUUAAUGCAUGGCAGGUGUCUCAGUCAACUGUCAUGCUUUUUCAUCAUUGCAAGUCAAAGUAAUAGAUAUUAAAAAGAUCUAAUGGGUUAGUCUAAUGAACCGACCCGAUUUUAUAGAGUUCAAUAGAACAAUAUAGUGACUAGGCCCAAUGACUUUCAAGGUUUAAUAAUGAAGGCCCAAUAAACUAGUUAAAUAAAUGAGCCCAAUUCAUUCGGCCCAAAUAGGAGAAAUAUCAUGACCCAACAUUGCCCCCUAGUUUAUUAUUAAACAGAAUUUUUAAUAGAAAACUAUAAAUAGUCCAUGAUAUUAGAAUUUACUAAAGGCCCAUAACAUGAAGCAAUUGAGACAUACCUGAUUUGGUCCAUAAGGUGAGAUAAAGGAUGGCUGAACGUCCAACGUGAAAAGCCCAAUCAAUAAAGGAUUGAAAUUGAAAAAGAUGGACUAAAAACCGGAAACCCAACCGAGAAGCCCAAUCUGAUAAAAUAUCUAAGGCUUGAUCCGGACGCUUCCCAUUCGAAUUCUCAUCAUUGCCAGAAAUUAAAUGUGCCGCCUUCGUAACUCGUGUAACCGUCAGUAUAAAAGGUAAACUUUACCAAUUUUGACAGUUUUACCUGUCAAUUUGAAUUUUGAACCCUUGAGCUUUUUUCUUCUCUCCAGAACUUCUCUUCUCUACUCUGCGAAAUCCCAACAAUGGUGGCUGUGAACCCUAACCAGAGCUCUCCCCUUUGUGUGACCCCCAUCACUACUAUUCAACCCAGCCCCAAUACUUCUAAAAAAGCAUCGAGUUCAAACCCCAAGGUUGCUACCACGAGCGGAAAACCUAUGUCUCCGAGACCCGUAUCUGACCCCUCUGAUUUCUUCAAGAGCAAGAAGCAGUAUCCCCAUGCCAACACGCCUUCCAUCAUUUUUGAGACCGAGUUAAGGAAGAUUAGGGCUCGCUAUCACAUUCCUGACACCCAUCUGAUAAGAUCCCCCAAAUCUGAAGAGAGGAUAUAUCAACGUCACGAGGGAUGGACGGCCGUACCAGUAACUUUACUUGAGAAGGGGGUUAGGUUUUCCCUUCAUAUCUUUCUGGUUACCCUUCUGGGGUUUAUUGGGGUAGGGUUUACCCAAUUGGUGCCAAACUCCUACAUCCACAUCUUAGCUUUUAUCGCAUUCUGUCACGAAUUGGGGGUCGAGCCUACUCUCGAUUUUUUCUUUACUGUAUACAAGAUUGCCCAAAGUAGGGAAAAGGGGUUCAAAGUAUUAGGCAAGCAUGUACAGAAGGCAGGUGAGAAAUUUGAGAGGCGAUCACUGAUAAACACCCCUUUGAGCAAUAGAGGAUGGCACGAGAGAUGGUUCUUCGUCAAAGGACCCGAGAUUGCCUCUCUACCGAACUGGACCACGAGCGAUGUGGUCUCCACCGAUUUUGGAGAUAUAUCCGAAGAGCGUGUAGCCGAACUGAUCGAUUUCAUGCGCAAUUUCCCAAAGGAAGAGUGGAAAUAUGGACUCAUUUCUAAACAGGCUUGGCUAUAUGAUCAUAAACGUAAGUACCGAACUACUUUUAUAUAUAUUUCUGUGAAAUCUUUGAUAAUAUUGGUUCUGACUCGUCUUUACAUAAUCAUCGCAGUGUCUCUGGUUAGACCGAACUCUUCAGAGAUAAAAGAGUUCGAAGACUUUUUGGCAGGGAAGAAUACGGAUGCAAGUGAAGAGCCUCCGACUAAAGAAUCUCCCCGAGCCGAUCCCAUCAUUACCGAUCCACCCACUGUUUUUCCUCAGAAUGACGAACCCCAAAUUGAUGAACCCAUUGUUGCUGAAGAAUCUCUCAGACCCCGUCGAAGAAAAAGAGCCGCCAAAAAAUCUAAGUCCAUUCAGCCAGAAACAAUCCUUGAAAUUGAUCCAGAAAUAAUUCCAGAAGCAAUCCCACAAGCAAGCCCUAGUUCUGUACCUUCCGAAUCCGUCUCAACUAAGAGAAGUUUGUUUGAUAUACCUCUGCAUGAACGGGUGAAAGUUCUUCGUGUUAAGAGAUUGAGAACAAAGGUCACCCCUCUAACUUCUGAUGAGCUUCGAGUCCCUCUAUCCUCGACUGACACCCCUCCUGUAAUCCCAGCUGAAAUUUAAAUACCUGAUGAUGAGCUGGUCGAAUCCAUCCCCGAACUAUCUAGGAAAAGGAAACAACCAUCCAGGUCCAUCCUCUGCUUCCUCACCAGCCCACGAACCUAAUCCUGUUCGAUCUCCCCCUCCGGAGAAUAUAUACACGGAUCCAACACCAACUCGCGAUCAACCCAUGCCUUCCCCUCCAAGACAGUCAACUUCUGAAUUUCAGUAUGAUGCCAUGGCCUCUCCAACCAUGUGGCCCCGAUUCAAUGCCAACUUUCCCUUCCAAUUAUUCGAUGCCUUCAUCCGUGAUACCGAUGACCAUCGAUUUGGUAACAGUUCAAACAUGGACCUGCUCAAGGAAGGCAUGAGUUAUCUGGCGAAGGUAAAGUGGUUUUCUUUGUAAUUUUUGUAUUUAUCUUAAUAUUUAGGCACUCUAAACUGAUCAAAUAAUGUUACAUAUGCGUAGGCGAAUGCUGUAUUCGGACGCCUGCAUCCAAAGUCUAUCGAAGCUGAGGCCGAAGAAAAGGCAAUGAGAAAGGAGAACCCUAUCUUAAAGUCUGCUUUGGCCCGGGAAAGGACUCAACGUGAAAGUGCUCUUCAUACAAAUAAAGGUCUUCGAAAACAUUUGGCCCAAGCCAAAGGAGAUGUGAAGACAUCCAAUGAAGAAAUGAAGUCAACUAAAGCACAAUACGAGGAGAUCGUCAAGAUGAACGUUGAUUUGGUUCAGAGGAACGAAAUAAGGAUGGGGAAGAUCAAAGAGUUAAAGGCUGAUGCUAAGAUCUUGACUAAAACGAUCCAAAAGCUAGAGCUAGCAGAAACUCAUCAUCUGAAUAAGCGUCAGAAGUUUGAAGAAGAAAUCCGAGAACUCAAGGCUCUUCGGGAUCUAGGACCUCCUUUGACCGAUGAUCUUCGAAAAUAGAUCCAUGAAGAGUAUCGGAAAUUGGAUGAUAUCAAUGGCGAAAUUAUGAAGAUAUACUCCGAAGGAUACGAGCUCUGCCGGAGUCGUGGCAAGAAGAAGUUGAUUACAGCUAACGUGGAUCCAUCCCUUCUCGAUUCUUCAGAUGGUGAAGACAAUGCUUGACAAUGUUACUAUUUUAUUCUGAAUUUUUAAGGCUGUGGAAAUUAUCUAUUUUUUGUGAGUUGUUGAAGGAUUUUAUUUAAAACUUUGGUUUAAGGACCUUUUGCUAUGAUUCCUAUGUUUUUGAGAUCGUUCCGGAAUUUCUGUUUUUGCUCAAUGUGUUUGUCAAUAUGAAUGAAUAGAUCGAUACCUAGUGAUGAAAUUUCAGCUUUCUAUGUCAUGGCUUCUACACAAUGCUUUUCGUUUCUUGUCAAUAAUUCAGUAUUGAUUAAUCUGUAUGGACUUAACUUAGGGCAUGGAUCAGAUAAGACAUAUGACAGCUAAUUUAUGAAAUGAAGUAAACUGAAUUUAAAGGAUAGAACUGACUGAACUGAAUUGAAUGAACUGAACUCAACACUUGAAUAAAAUAAAGUAUUGUAUACUUAUCGUUUCCGAAGUGUGAGAUCGGCCAUAUGUCAGAUGAAUUCGGCUGAUCCUCUUUGCACCAUCGGAAUUUUACCACUCGGGGUGAAACAAUUAUAUAAGAACCAAGAUAUAAAGACCAUGGAAUUUGUCUACCACACGGGGUCACAAAUUCAUAAGGACACUCCUGACAAUAAAGCUGCCAUCGAAUGGCCAGCAAGUCCGACCAUACCUCCUUACACCAUUGUGAACUUAGGACAAAUAAGAAGAGGAUCAGUUGUGAAAAAGUGAACUUUUAUAGAUGGUGAACAAUCAUGUACAGACUUCUUGGUAAACUGACUCGAUCUCUACUAGAAAUAUUUUUGAAGCCUGCCUGCAUGCCAAGUGUUCUUGAUCUCGGAUCCAUCUAAUUCUUUUAAAUGAUAAGUCCCUGGCUUUGGUACUUCGAUCACCUCAUACGUCCCUUCCCAGUUCGGCAUUAACUUUCCUGUGUUUUGAGGCAUAGACGCUUCGGCUUCUCUGAGGACAAAGUCUCCUACUUCGAAUCUACAAAGUUUAACCCCUUUGUUGUAAUGCUUAGCUACUCUUCGUUGAUAAGCAGCCAAUUUAAGCAAAGCUACCUCUCUGACUUCUUCUAGCAGAUCCAAGUUAGCCUUCAGUCCUUCGUUAUUGUAGAUCUCUUUGAAUUUACUGACCCAAAGACUUGGAGAUCUGAUUUCGACUGGGACUAAGGCAUCAGUACCAUAGGCCAAUCGAAAAGGUGAAUCCUCUGUGGUGGUCCUCGGUGUAGUCCGGUAAGCCCACAGUACGCUGAGCAGUUCUUUUGGCCAUCUUCCUUUAGCUUCAUCCAGUUUGCGCUUGAUCCCGUUCAGAAGCGUCCUGUUGGUCACCUCGACUUGCCCGUUCGACUGUGGAUGAGCCACCGAAGUCUUCUUGUGCUGAAACCCCAGCUCCUUCAAAAAUCCUUCAAAUUUUGAUCCCACAAACUGGCGUCAAUUUUCUGAUAUCACCACUUUGGGAAUUCUGAAGCGAAAUAUUACGGACUCUUUCAUGAACUUCAAACAUUCCUGCUCUUUUAUCAACCGAAGUGGCUUCACCUCUACCCACUUGGUCAUGUAAUCAAUAGCAACUAUUAUGAAGUUAACCUGUCCCUUAGCUUUUGGCAAUAGACCCAAUAUAUCAACCCCCCAGACAGCAAAGGGUAUAGGAGAUAGAAUCGAGUAUAGCUCUUCUGGUAGCUGGUGUGGGAUCGGACUGUUGAGCUGACACUUCUCACACUUCUUCACAUACUCGGUAGCUUCCUUGAAGAUCGAUGGCCAGUAGUACCCUUGCCGAAGAACUUUGUAUGCUAAUGACUUAGCAACCAUGUGAUCACCACAGAUACCUUCAUGAACCUCCCGAAGGGCAUAUUCAGCUUCAAAAGGAACCAGACACUUCAACAAUGGUGACGAAAAUGCCCUUCGAUAAAGAUCCCCAUCAAUAAGAACGAAGUUGGCACUCUUGUACUUGAUCUUCUUUUCCAGCAUCUGAUCCGAAGGAAGGACGCCAUUUGCUAAAUACUCGAUGUAGGGAGUCAUCCAGCAGUUAGAUUGCUCGAUACACAUCACCGCUUCAUGCUGAACACUCGGCUGCUGGAAAACCUCCAAAUAGACCGAUCCGUUAAAAACAUCUGCAUCCGUGGUGGCCAGCUUUGACAGUGCAUCGGCAAUGGAAUUAUCGUUACGCUAGAUGCCCUGAAACUCAUAAGAGAUAAAGUACUGAAGUCUGUCUUUCAAUUCUGUCAAAUACUUGAUCAUCCUUGUCCCGCGAGCUUCAUAAUCUCCCGAAAGUUGUUUGACGACCAACUGAGAGUCAUUGUAAAUGAUCAGCUUCUGGACCUCUAGACUCUUCGCCAGUCGAACUCCUGCUAACACUGCUUCAUACUCGGCCUCGUUGUUUGUUGCUUUGAACCCAAAUCUGAUUGCUUGAUGCACCUUGAAUCCUUCCGGACUUGUCAAUAUAAUCCCUGCCCCACUAACAUUCACCGUAGAGGACCCAUCUGCAUACAGCGUCCAUGUAUUCGGAAUGUAUGACCCCAACUUGUUAUUAAUGAAAUUUAAUUUUCUCUAUUUAUUAUUUUGAAAUAGUAAGGGUUGAUUUGAUUAAUGUGGAUAGUUAUGGGUAAAAUACGCAAAUAUUUCAAAAUAAGCAAGUGGUUAUAAAAUAUUCAUUGUUGUCGGGGAAUAUUUGUUUGGUCGUGGAAUAUUCGUACUGUCGGGGAAUAUUCAUACGACGGCGCAGCCAUGUAUGGGUCCCAUAACGGAAAACGAUUUGAUGAAGAAAACGAUAAAUAUAAGUUGUUUAAAAAUAACGGCGUAGUUGUUACCGUUAAUACUGUUAAAAUACUCGGUGGUUAACACACAGUAGCACACGGUAUUGCACCAAUUAUUGAUUCUUACGUAAGUAGGCACUACUCAAUAAUGGUUACAGUAAUUACUGUUCAGAAUUUUAUUUAAUUGAUUUAAUAAUUACUGCGUUGAUAUUUUAUAUUGUUGUUAUUUCAAUAAUUGUCAUUACACAGUAUUUUUCAUUAUCGAAGCAAUAAUUCAUAUUAUCUGAAUAAUAUUAUUAGAUAACAUUAUUGGCAAUGUCUAGAAAGUUCUGUCUAAGGAGAGGUUUGGUCACCUAAUUGCGCGCCAGUAAGGAGAAAUUCUUAUUGGAAAGCCCCCUCUUUCCUGGGAACUGCCUGGUUGUCAAUAUUGUGAUUCUGUAAUAUUAUUUGUGAAUAAUUAAUUAUUGAUUCAUAUGAUGAGGAAAAUAUUGAUUUUAUGUGGAUAUAGAUGGAGAAAAUUUUUAAUGUGACAAUUGUUGAAAAUUGAAAUUUUAUCUUUUUCUGAUAAAAUAAUUCAUAUAUAUAUAUAUAUUAUUAUAUUUUAAUAAUAUAAUAAUGGUGAUAUUUUUACAACGAAUGUGGGAUAUAUGAGUAUACGAGGAGGAAGAGUAUUUUUGUUGCAAUAAAUGUUUAAAACAUGUUAAACAUGUCGGUGGACCCCAUUUCUUGACUGAAAUUUGAUUAUAGCCUGUAAAAUCGCCCGUUUGUGGAUUUCGGUCAAUUUCUGUUUGGAAUUUGGAAAAACUUUCUUCUGCAAAGUUGUAGAGAAUUGAAUUUCCUAUAAAAACUCGCGAGAUUCGAAUUUUCUGACAAAAGGGCUAUUUAUUGUGAAUUAUUGAAGUUCCGAAGCUCCGAAAUAAUUGAUUUUUGGAAGUUUAAAAUAUUUUAAAUAACAAAAACGUUUUUUUCAUUAUGGUGUGUUACACAUGUGUGUUGAAUGAGCUGAAUUCAGUUCUUGGAAGGUUGGCGUAGGAAAAUUUAAUAUAUAUAUUAAUAUUUUAUUAAAUUUUCUGCUUUGGUGUUCUAAGCAUUUUCCUAUAAAUAGGGUGCUUAGGUUAGAAUUGAAAAUCACACCAGAAACUGAAGUUUUCUCUCUCUAUAUUAUCGAGCGUAUUCUUGUGAGUAUUUUGAGUAUAUUUUGAGUAUUGCUAUACGGUGCAAGUUCAAGUCAUAGCCUAUAUCCGGUGUUUCAGCUAGAAGUACUGAUCUUUCGAGGUAAGGGAUAUUUUUUUUUUUCGUAAUGAUAUUAUUUCUUCAAUAUCAUUAUGCUGAAAUAUUGAUCUGAAGUUUUUAUCAAAUUUGGAACUUUUGGUGUCGGAGUUACUAUUCACGUAUACGGCACUAUUCACGUAUACGGUACUAUUCACGAAUACGGCACUAUUCAUCGAAAAAUGAAAAUUUUCCUUUUCGUCCAAAAUAUCUAUUGUGGAUACUAGCUUUGAUUGUAUCCAUGUUUUGAUCAUUCUUGAAUUUUACACCACUAUGAUUAUUUUUGAGGUAUUUUUGGACAUGGAUAAAACAAAGUACGAAUCCUUAAUCCUUAAUCCUUGUCAUUUUGUUUCACUGGAUUCGUUUCUUUAAAAAUAUUUUUCAUCAUCCUCAGUCUUAAAUGAUGAUAUUAUUGAAUAUCUUUGGCCUGUAGUGCAAAGAUGAAUGAUUUCUGAUGAAUAUCUUUGGCCCGUAGUGCAAAGAUGAACAGGUGUUUAGAUGAACAUGACCAACUGAUGAAUAUCUUUGGCCUGUAGUGCAAAGAUGAAUAUUUGAUUCCAGAUAUAUAUUGAUUGAUGUUACAGGGAUAAAAGAUAGACGAUGAACUUUUAAAUUCAUACAUAGAAGAUAGUAGUUUGCAUUCUCUACUUAACUCUUCUAAUGAAUUAUUAUUUCCGCUGCGAAUAUUGAUUUAAAACUUGUUGUCUAUUGUAUUCUAUUAGAUUUUUCCCUGUUGAAGACUAACGAUAAUUUGUUGUAUAUUAUCUUAGUCAUAAUAUUCUUUACUGGGCUAGUUGAGCUCACCCUUUUCCUUUUUGUUCCAUUUUUCUUCUCAGGAGGCGAGAAUAUAGCGAGUACGAGUCGGGGUAUGGAAUGAAGGUUCUAGAGAGAGUUGUUUAGUAGUCCUCACCAUUUUUGUAAAAUAAUGUAUCAAUAAAUGUGAUGAGGAUUUAUUUGAGUAUAGAUAUUGUCUAGAAGAUAAUAUUUGUAUUCAAACUCACAGUUUUACUGUUGUAAUAAUAAAGUUGUAGUUGUUUCUGUACCAUGUAUUGACAACUCAGAAUGGGUGAUGUAUACCUAUUUUGGGGGCGUCACAGUUGGUAUCAGAGCUUAGGGAUAUGAUCUCUGGCGGAGAUCGGGGAAUAGAACUAGGAGGGGAGAGACGAGUAAAUCCUUCGCUAGUGUGUCCUACCUAAGCUUAUUUGUUAGUUGGUCAGUAUAUAGGGAUAUUAUGUGAUAUAUUGAUUUCCUUAAUUAACCCUUGUUUUAUGACAGUAUUUGAGAAUGUCGACUGAGAAUAUUAACAAUGGAAAUGAGACCGUGGAGACGCCUGUACUCACCAACGAGGAGAACGUGCAACAGGCUGGCAAUGUUCCUCCUGUGAACAACACCACUGAGCAGAUGAUGAACGAGGGGAUGUUUAGAAGCUUUUUGCAGUUCAUGCAAAAUCAGACGAGGGAGACUCGUGUUCAAAAUACAGGAGGAAAUGAUAGCAAUUCACGGGUUGUCACAGCCAAGCAGUUCAAAGAGUUGGGACCACCAGAAUUUAAGGGAAAGCCAGAUCCGAUCAUGGCGGAAACAUGGGUCAAGCAAAUUACCAAGAUAUUCGAUGUCUUGGGAUGCACGGAGGAACAGAAGGUUCCAUUCGCCACCUUUAUGUUCCGUGGCGAGGCAGACUACUGGUGGGAGUCUGUGAAGCGUACCCAUCCAGCCGCACUCAGCAUGUCUUGGGAGACAUUUCAGAAACUAUUUAAUGACAAAUACUUUCCUGAAAGUGUUCGUCAUAUGAAGGAAGUGGAGUUCAUCAGAUUUGAGCAGAAUAACAUGACGGUGUACCAGUACGAGGCAAAGUUUGCAGAGUUAUCCAGGUUUGUACCUCAUUUGGUGGAGAAUGAGGAACGUAUGACGCGGAUGUUUCUUAGAGGUUUGAAACCCGGCAUACGUCAGUAUCUCAUUUCUCAUAAAUUUUUUCUCUAUUCAGAUGUUGUAAACAUGGCUCAAUUAUUAGAGCGAGAUAACGAGUACGGUCAACCGAGGGACCACAACCAGGAUAAUACCAGAGAUAACAGUCAACAAAACAACGAUAACCAGCGGAGAAAGAAAAAGACAGACAAAAAUGGUAACCACUCUGGUGGUAAUCAUGGCCAUGAGAAUAGAAGAAGCGAGUCAGGAGGAGAUUUUAAAAAGAGGAGAUUNNNNNNNNNNNNNNNNNNNNNNNNNNNNNNNNNNNNNNNNNNNNNNNNNNNNNNNNNNNNNNNNNNNNNNNNNNNNNNNNNNNNNNNNNNNNNNNNNNNNAGUUGGGAUAAGUAUUUACCAUUGGUGGAAUUCUCCUACAACAACAGUUAUCAGGCAAGUAUAGGUGUGGCUCCAUUCGAAGCAUUAUAUGGACAAAAAUAUCGCUCUCAAAUAUAUUGGGACGAGGUGGGUGAAGCAACAUUGUUGGGACCUGAGUUGGUAUGUAUGACUACGAAAAAGAUCCAAAUGAUUCGACAACGUAUACAAACGGCACAAGAUCGACAAAAGAGUUAUGCAGAUCUUCAUCGAAAAGACGUGGAAUUUAGUAUUGGGGAUCACGUAUUGUUGCGUGUAGCUCCAUGGAAGGGAGUUACAAGAUUUGGGAAGAGAGGAAAGCUCAAUCCACGAUUUAUCGGUCCAUUUCAAAUUCUUGACCGAGUAGGAAAUGUAGCCUAUAGACUCGCAUUACCUCCGAGUAUGUCUCGUGUUCAUAAUGUGUUUCACAUAUCUUUACUUCGUAAAUAUGUGAAAGACCCGAACCACGUUAUAGAGUUAGAACCGGAUGAGAUAGCCGAAGACUUAACGUAUGAGGAGGUACCUGUCAAGAUCUUGGAUAGGAAUGAGCAUGUCCUACGUAAAAAGGUCAUAUAACAAGUUAAAGUUUUGUGGAAGAAUCAUGCUAUAGAGGAAAUGACCUGGGAAUUGAAAACGGAAAUGAAAGCGAGGUAUCCUCACCUUUUCGAAACACCAGGUACGUACAUCAAUUUCGAGGACGAAAUUUCAUAAGGAGGGGAGGUUGUAAGACCCCAACUUGUUAUUAAUGAAAUUUAAUUUUCUCUAUUUAUUAUUUUGAAAUAGUAAGGGUUGAUUUGAUUAAUGUGGAUAGUUAUGGGUAAAAUACGCAAAUAUUUCAAAAUAAGCAAGUGGUUAUAAAAUAUUCAUUGUUGUCGGGGAAUAUUCGUUUGGUCGUGGAAUAUUCGUACUGUCGGGGAAUAUUCUUAUGACGGCACAGCCAUGUAUGGGCCCCAUAACGGAAAAAGAUUGGAUGAAGAAAACGACGAAUAUAAGUUGUUUAAAAAUAACGGCGUAGUUGUUACCGUUAAUACUGUUAAAAUACUCGGUGGUUAACACACAGUAGCACACGGUAUUGCACCAAUUAUUGAUUCUUACGUAAGAAGGCACUACUCAAUAAUGGUUACAGUAAUUACUGUUCAGUAUUUUAUUUUAUUGAUUCAAUAAUUGCUGCGUUGAUAUUUUAUAUUGCUGUUGUUUCAAUAAUUGUCAUUACACAGUAUUUUUCAUUAUCGAAGCAAUAAUUCAUAUUAUCUGAAUAAUAUUAUUAGAUAACAUUAUUGGCAAUGUCUAGAAAGUUCUGUCUAAGGAGAGGUUUGGUCACCUAAUUGCGCGCCAGUAAGGAGAAAUUCUUAUUGGAAAGCCCCCUCUUUCCUGGGAACUGCCUGGUUGUCAAUAUUGUGAUUCUGUAAUAUUAUUUGUGAAUAAUUAAUUAUUGAUUCAUAUGAUGAGGAAAAUAUUGAUUUUAUGUGGAUAUAGAUGGAGAAAAUUUUUAAUGUGACAAUUGUUGAAAAUUGAAAUUUUAUCUUUUUCUGAUAAAAUAAUUCAUUUAAAUAUAUUAUUAUAUUUUAAUAAUAUAAUAAUGAUGAUAUUUUUACGAUGAAUGUGGGAUAUAUGAGUAUAUGUGGAGGAGGAGUAUUUUUGUUACCAAAAAUAUUUAAAGCAUGUUUUAUGUGUCGGUGGACCCCAUUUCUUGACUGAAAUUUGAUUAUAGCCUGUAAAAUCGCCCGUUUAUGGAUUUCGGUCAAUUUUUGUUUGGAAUUUGGAAAAACUUUCUUCUGUAAAAUUGUAGAGAAUUGAAUUUCCUAUAAAAAGUCGCAAGUUUCGAAUUUUCUGACAAAAGGGCUAUUUAUGGUAGUGGCGUAGGAAUUUUGAUAUAUAUAUUUAUAUUUUAUUAAAUUUUCUGCUUUGGUGUUCUAAGCAUUUUCCUAUAAAUAGGGUGCUUAGGUUAGAAUUGAAAAUUACACCAAAAACUGAAAUUUUCUCUCUCUAUAUUAUCGAGUGUAUUCUUGUGAGUAUUUUGAGUAUUGCUAUACGGUGCAAGUUCAAGUCAUAGCCUAUAUCUGGUGUUUCAGCUAGAAGUACUGAUCUUUAGAAGUAAGGGAUAUUAUUUUUUUUAAAAAUGAUAUUAUUCCUUCUAAUAUCAUUAUGCCGAAGUAUUGAUCUGAACUUUUAAUCAAAUUUGGAACUUUUAGUGUCGGGGUUACUAUUCGCGUAUACGGCACUAUUCACGUAUACGGUACUAUUCACGAAUACGGCACUAUUCAUCAAAAAAUGAAAAUUUUCCUUUUCUUCCAAAAUAUUUAUUAUAGAUACUAGCUUUGAUUGUAUCCAUGUUUUGAUCAUUCUUGAAUUUUUGGACAUGAAAUAGCUGAAAUACAAAUCCUUAAUAUUUAUUCUUUUGUUUCACUGGAUUCGUUUUCUUUGAAAUAUUUUUCAUCAUCCUCAGUCCUAAAUGAUGAUAUUACUGAAUAUCUUUGGCCUGUAGUGCAAAGAUGAAUGAUUUCUUGAUGAAUAUUUUUGGCUCGUAGUGCAAAGAUGAACAGGUGUUUAGAUGAACAUGACCAACUGAUGAAUAUCUUUGGCCUGUAGUGCAAAGAUGAAUAUUUGAUUCCAGAUAUAUAUUGAUUGAUGUUACAGGGAUAAAAGAUAGACGAUGAACUUUUAAAUUCAUACAUAGAAGAUAGUAGUUUGCAUUCUCUACUUAACUCUUCUAAUGAAUUAUUAUUUCCGCUGCGAAUAUUGAUUUAAAACUUGUUGUCUAUUGUAUUCUAUUAGAUUUUUCCCUGUUGAAGACUAACGAUAAUUUGUUGUAUAUUAUCUUAGUCAUAAUAUUCUUUACUGGGCUAGUUGAGCUCACCCUUUUCCUUUUUGUUCCAUUUUUCUUCUCAGGAGGCGAGAAUGUAGCGAGUACUAGUCGGGGUAUGGAAUGAAGGUUCUAGAGAGAGUUGUUUAGUAGUCCUCACCAUUUUUGUAAAAUAAUGUAUCAAUAAAUGUGAUGAGGAUUUAUUUGAGUAUAGAUAUUGUCUAGAAGAUAAUAUUUGUAUUCAAACUCACAGUUUUACUGUUGUAAUAAUAAAUUUGUAGUUGUUUUUGUACCAUGUAUUGACAACUCAGAAUGGGUGAUGUAUACCUAUUUUGGGGGCGUCACACGGAACAUGCUGAAGAAUAGCAACUGCUCGAUCAGACGUCUCAGCCUCUGGCAACUCGACAUCUGCUUCGGUGAACGAACAUUCCACCAUAAAAUCGGCCAAGGCCUGACCCUUGAUAGCGGUUCGGGGAUGGUAUUCGAUAAAAAAUUGGGACAAUUCCAUCGUCCAUGCUGCCAACCUCCCCGAAACCUCUGGCUUGCUCAUCACCUUCUUCAAUGGCUGAUCCGUGUAGACGACCAGGAGCCGACCUUGAAAAUAUUGGCGAAGCUUUCUACUAGCAAUUAUCAAAGCAAAAGCAAAUUUUUAAAUAUUCGGGUACCUGGUUUCAGCAUCUCGUAGGACGUGACUGACAUAAUAGACCGGAUGCUGCUUUCCACUGACCUCCCGAACCAGCACUGCUCCAACUGCCAACGAACUUGCUGCAAGGUACAAAUACAAAGUCUCUGCUGGGGCAGGCUUCACCAAUAAAGGAGCAGAAGACAGAUAUGUCUUUAUGCCUUGGAAGACGUCUUCACACUUCGAAGUCCACUGGAACGUCUUCUCAUUCGUCGGCCCCUUCAAUGUGUCAAAGAACGGCAAGCAUCUCUCCGCAGACCUCGACAUAAAUCUCCUCAGAGCUGCAAUCAUGCCAGUCAGACGUUGGACAUCUUUGAACAACUGAGGAGUCUUCAUGUCAAGAAUGGCCUUGAUCUUCUCCGGAUUGGCUUCAAUGCCCCUCUGACUGACCAGAUACCCCUGGAACUUCCCUGCACCGAGUCCGAAGGUACACUUUGCCAGAUUGAGCCUUAGCUUGUGAUGACAGACAGCCUGAAAGCAUUCCUCCAGAUCGUCCAAGUGCUUCUGAACCUGCAUGCUCUUCACGGUCAUAUCAUCUACGUACACCUCCAUGUUCUUCCCCAGCUGUCUAUCGAAUAUGAAAUUCAUCAUUCUUUGGUAGGUGGUUCCAGCAUUUAUAAGGCCAAAGGUCAUCUUCUUAUAGGUAUACACCGAACGGUGUGUAAUAAUUAUUGUCUUCGGAAUGUCCUCCUUGCACAUGGAAAUUUGAUGAUAACCUGAAAAAUCAUCCAUAAAGCUUAGUAAUGCAUACCCUGAAGUGGCAUCAAUGAUUUGAUCAAUAUGGGGCAGAGGAUAAAAAUCCUUCGGACAAGCUUUAUUCAGGUCGGUGUAGUCGAUGCAAACCCGCCACUUUCCAUUAUGCUUCUGCACCAACACUACAUUGGCUAUCCACUGUGGGUAGUCGAUUUCAAAAAUGAAGUCAGCAGCUAUCAGCUUAGCAAUCUCCUCAUCAAUGAUCCUCUGAUGCUCAGGUGCAACGAUUCGCCUUUUUUGUCGAACUGGCUUUUUCGAUGGAUCUACCUCCAACCUGUGCUCGACAAUUUUUCGGCUAAUUCCUGGCAUAUCUUGUGGUUCCCAGGCAAAGAUGUCUGCAUAGCAUCGAAGGAGUUCCAUAAGGUUCAUCCGAAGAGGUUCUGGAAGACCCGAACCAAUCUUCACCGUCUUGUCUGGCUUUCCAAGGACUAGCUCGAUCUCUUCCGCCUCUCCUGCAGAAAUUACCAAUGGCUCCGAGCUGCUUUCAGUGAAGGGCUCGAUCUCAAUUGCAAUGGUUUAUUUCUGUUUGCUGACCCCCACUCCGAAAGAAAUAACCGCAUUUCUAUAACAUCGUCGGGCCAGAUCUAAGUCCCCUGCCACUUCUCCGACUCCAUAUGUUGUGGGGAACUUGAUUUUGAAGUGAGGGAUGGAAGUUACCGCUUGGAGAGCGGUCAGUGUAGGCCUUCCCAAUAUGGCGUUGUAAGCCAAAUCUACAUGCACAACAUAAAAUUUACAUAUUAGUUCUACCUUUUGAGGAGCUGUGCCGAAGAUUACUGGGAGCUCGAUGGUGCCUGCAACUCUAACCGGAUCGUUGUUAAAGCCAUUUAAAGGAGCCUCCUGCCCGACCUCCAUCUUCCGCCCAUCAAGAUGCAUCCUCUGAUAAGCAUGGGCAUAUAAAAUGUCUACAGAAGACCCGUUGUCUAUCAUCAUGCGCUUCACAUCUACCAAACCCUCCUGCGCUGUGAUCACCAACGCCCCCUCAUGCGGCUCGAUAGGCUCCGAAGGAUAAUCCGCAUCGGUGAAAGAAAUAACAGUCCCUGGAAAAGGUCUGUCGGCCUUUGGGGGAGCACCCGCCAUGGACAUGACCGAAUCCAUAUAUCCUCUCCCUCUUCUUCCCUAUCAACUUCCCUGCCGUCCCGCCGGUUAUUACAUCAACGACGUGCCUUGGCGGUGGUAUUGGAAUACUUUGGGCUAGUAGGACCGUUUGAAUGGUCUGGACAGUAUGAUUAGCAUUUUGCUGACCUUGUUGGUCCCUCCCAGCCACGUACUGAACCAGUAAACCGUUUUGAAUCUUCCUCUCUACGAAAUCUUUCAAAUUGCAACAUUCAUUAGUAUCGUGACCAGCGGCUUGAUGGUAGCCACAAUAUUUUCGGGUAUUGCCCUGCCCUGGCUUGAUUUGGUCACGAGGCGGCUCAUAGAAUGGCUGGUUCCUAAUCUGGUCCAAAAUCACCGACCUAUCCGUGUUCAGCUUGGUGUAAACCUUAUUCACCUUCGAGGCGGACGCAGGUGGACGACUACUCCCCUGUCGCCAUGAGUUAUUGAACUUCUUCGAACUGCCCUCUGGCCGAUCAUUAUAUCCUCCCCCCUUUCUCUGAUCGCCAUCUGCCUUAGGAGCAUUUGUAUCCUUUAAUUGGUCCGAAGAAGGACGUUUCAGGCUAUUCAUAGCCUCCUCUACAACAAUUUAUCCUUCUGCUUUGUCAAAAGCUUCUGCCAGGCUCUUCGGAUGGUGGAACAUCAACUUCUUCACCAACUUCUCGGACUUUACCAGAUCUAGCCCAUUCUGAAACAAAACUACGACCUGGAGAUCAUUGAGGUCGGACACCUGACCAACUGCUUCUCUGAACCUCUUAACAUAUUGACCCAAUGACUCGUUGGUGAACUACCGGACCUGUGCUAAUGAACCAGUGGGCUUCCCUCUCCUUUGGUUAUUCCCAAAGCGGGCAUGGAACUUAUCACAAAGCUCGAUCCAAGAGGAAAUUGAAUCUGACGGCAAAGUCCCCAUCCACUACCUCGCAUCUUUCCUCAAUGUCGUAACAAAUGUGUGACAUUUGGCCGCAUCAGUGAAAUCAUAAUAGUCCAUCAGCCGGUCGAACGCCUGGCUAUGGUCGUAAGGAUCCCCGGACCCAUCGUAGCUCUCCAUGCGAGGAAACUUCUUGGUGAUAUCUGCCUUCUCCUUAAGAAUAUCUGAGGAAAAAGGUGAUGCCUUCUUUCCCGGCUUGUCCUUCACCUGUUGAACCUCAGCCAACUACUUUCGGAGCUCUUUCAGCUCCUUCACUAAGAAAUCAACACCUUCGGGCUGCGAGGAGAUCUCUUUCUCCUGAAUGACAUUCUGUCUAUGAGUGGAUCGACCCCACUGCCUUUGUUGGGCUUAUGGAUCUACUCUGGCGUACAAUUUUAUCCUCAUGAUGAGAAUGCACACGCUGACGCUCUCUUCUUCUAGUUUCUGGCACGAUCUCCCUCGACUUGCUCGUUCGCCUGUCGUCGUCUCGAUGAUGAGAACCAACGACCACCAAUGCCUUCUUCGAGGCCACGGGAGUUCUGCUUCUCGAUCUCCUUCUACCAUGAGAACGAUCCCUAGACACAUGUAUGGAAUGCUCCGGCUCUUUCCCCUCUCGUCGUCGCACCUCCUCAUGCUUACUCCGCUUUUUGGACUGAACAUGGCUAGAUGCUUCGUCCCUUAACUCCGCCACCCGAAGCAUCUGUUCGGCUAUAUCUUCCCUCUGCUUUAAUAGGAUCUCCAAGGCUUUAUCUGCUUCAUCUACCAUCCUCGUCAACUUGGCAGCUCUGUCCUCCUGACCACUUCGGCUAUGAAUCUUGGUCGGUGAGCCCUCUGCCCGCCCUCAACCACGAUCACACUCUUUAUCAGCAUCAAAGACCAACCUCCGUCUGGCUCCACCAUGGAUCUUCGGACGGAGAUCACCCGAAUUAUGCUUAGAGGCCGUGCUCUCGUGAGCACUUUUAGAAGGACUCAUACGAUCCUUUACCAAAAUACGAGGCAGUGACGAGCUUACAGCCAUCGCCUGCCCCUCUGGCGUACCGUCUCUACUCCUCACCAUCUUUUGAAGUAGAUUAAAUGGAUGUGGUUGAAAAUUUCAAUGACACUAGAACUCAACCCUCCUUCUAGCGCCAAUGUUAAUGCCAAGAUCUUUUGCCGCGUACCAAUCACGUAAGACGCCUGAUCUUGCACAGUAAACAUGAUAAACACCACGAGCUUGACGGCUUCAACCGUCGGGGGAUAUCUCAGGCGUGAGAGUCAGUAUCGCUGUUCAUAAGGUUAACAAUGGAGGAUGUAAUGUCUAAUGUAUUGAGAGAGAGAUAAUAAUUCUUCAUUGUGUGUGUAUGAAUAUGAAUGUGAACAUACCUGGUUGUGAAGACUUGGUUGAUAGGAUAUACUCUCUUGCCCGGUUUACCGUGCCACCUACUACUAACUGACACAACCCCCUGAUCUGAUGGGUUCUGCCGACUGCAUGCAGUCUAUCCACUACCUUUGGUCACUGUUUAUGCCGCCGGCCGGCUAUAAUCCCAUCCACAUUAAUGCAUGGCAGGUGUCUCAGUCAACUGUCAUGCUUUUUCAU
RNAcentral lists this long non-coding RNA (17474 nucleotides) under Panax ginseng (ginseng). RNAcentral's name for it is "long non-coding RNA (PGIN_LNC017813)". The record is from RNAcentral. Lineage: Eukaryota; Viridiplantae; Streptophyta; Magnoliopsida; Apiales; Araliaceae.